Molecule: long non-coding RNA, 917 nt
Organism: Bactrocera oleae (olive fruit fly)
Lineage: Eukaryota; Metazoa; Arthropoda; Insecta; Diptera; Tephritidae
Source: RefSeq, a predicted model, not a curated record
GAUUAGGUAGCGAAACUAUUUAUAUAUUUAAUCUGGGAGUUACACUUUUUUCAGGAAGAUAAUAAAUAGCAGUAAGCUAGCAUUCCUUACUAUGUUUUUAGACGCUACGGCAUUUAGAAUUUUAUUCAGCCAACACUUUCUGAGCUGAAUAAGUUCUUUGACAUUUAGCGCUUAAUUUAACUGUCAGUUUCUUUAGCUGAAACAAAUUCUUUGACAAUCAGCUGUCGCUCUCUUAAUUAAUUCGCUUAGAACGAACCGUUAAUCUUUGCCUUGACUGCGAGCUAAUAAUACGAUGUACUUAGUGCCAAAAAUUCCAGUCUAUCGCGACAAUUAUUACCUAUUAUUAUUCCAGUUCAAGCCCGUUCGUACCACAUUGAAUCCCUCAACUCUAUUCAAAUACAAACAACAGAAGAUAUCUCUACAAAAUCGAAGGAACUCAUCGCUGUGGGUUGGAAGUUGAAAAUAUAUGCUUGUAUAUUUUCCUGUCUAAAUAUAGGAGUAAGCUGGUCAAAGGCAAUGAAAUGUUGCAGGUUCGACUGACAUAUGGAAUUUUCAAGCACAGAAAUGUGAACCAUUUUCCGUGAAACAAGAACCGUCUGCGAAUAUGUAGUCUGUAUAAUUGUGUGUAUUCGAAAGCCUGGCUCCAGCCGCAUCGUGAAAUUUUCAAUAAGUGCAAUGCCGCUAAUGGUGCAGCAGUUGCAACUCAUAGAUACAUGCUCGAUACUGUAUGAUUUGCUCAUAUUAACUUACCACUGCCGAACGGCACGUAGCAUAGCACAACAAUGAUAAUUGUAAAACUGUAUUGUGAAAAUUUCGAGGCGAAUGAAUUAUUAAUAAGUUGUGUAUAAAAUGUAUAAUACAGAAUGUAUCAAGUGCCCUUUACUAAUGAAUUAAAAUGGUUAGAAAAAGUAAUAAAA